UGAAAGUAAAGAACAAAGAAGAGGGGAAAACAUCCUAUUUCGUCGUUUUUUGUUUGUUUUUUAUUAUUAUUUCUUUUUGUUUCCU
RNAcentral lists this non-coding RNA (85 nucleotides) under Platyophrya macrostoma. The record is from RNAcentral. Lineage: Eukaryota; Ciliophora; Colpodea; Cyrtolophosidida; Platyophryidae.